UGCUAUGACUACAGAACCCAUCCAAACCCC
This 30-nucleotide non-coding RNA is filed under the name Rattus norvegicus (Norway rat). The record is from RNAcentral. Lineage: Eukaryota; Metazoa; Chordata; Mammalia; Rodentia; Muridae.